Vicia faba (fava bean) is the source of this 294-nucleotide non-coding RNA. Lineage: Eukaryota; Viridiplantae; Streptophyta; Magnoliopsida; Fabales; Fabaceae. The record is from the annotation of a GenBank genome assembly.
AUGAAGAAAAGAGGGAGUGCGGGAGUUACCUAUCGGAGACGCUCCGAUGGAAUUUCAAUUGCGAUAGUAACGGAACCAAAAACCCUGCUCCAAGCUGCACACUCCAUAGGAAGCAAUAUGGAUCGAAGCUACUUAGGAUUCAGUGCAAUGAAGAUACUGCAGAUUGGUCGAGGUUUACGAACUAGAAGUGUUUGUUGGUGUAAUGAUGUGUGCUCUAAUUGUUGUUACGUUGAAGAAGGUGAUAAUCGAAGGUUGAAGAUAGAGUAUAGAUGGAGAUUCAAAGAGAGAAGAUGA